Molecule: unclassified non-coding RNA, 197 nt
Filed under: soil metagenome
Description: partial contains 5.8S ribosomal RNA, internal transcribed spacer 2, and large subunit ribosomal RNA
Source: RNAcentral
AAGACUAUAGACCUGCGGAGUACCUGCGGAAGGAUCAUUCACAAUAAGUGUUUUAUGGCACUUUAAUUCCAUAUCCACCUUGUGUGCAACGUAGUUCGUUUUUCGAACAAAACAUCAACAUUUUAAUUAUCAACAGAUCGUCUGAAGUAUUAUAUGAAUAAAUCAAUUCAAAAUACAACUUUUAACAAUGGAUCUCU